UACCUGUGGGGCAAGCGUUGUUCGGAAUUACUGGGCAUAAAGGGUGCGUAGGUGGCUUGUUAAGUCAGGGGUGAAAGUUUUCGGCCCAACCGGAAAAUGGCCUUUGAUACUGGCGAGCUCGAGUACGUGAGGGGUAACCGGAACGAGCAGUGUAGCGGUGAAAUGCGUAGAUAUUGCUCGGAAGGCCAACGGCGAAGGCAGGUUACUGGUACGCAACUGACACUGAGGCACGAAAGCGUGGGGAGCAAACAGG
This 253-nucleotide ribosomal RNA is filed under the name uncultured bacterium. RNAcentral describes it as "partial 16S ribosomal RNA". It matches the Rfam family "Bacterial small subunit ribosomal RNA", at positions 524 to 776 of the family's 1533-position model. The record is from RNAcentral.